This 200-nucleotide ribosomal RNA is filed under the name uncultured bacterium. RNAcentral describes it as "partial 16S ribosomal RNA". It matches the Rfam family "Bacterial small subunit ribosomal RNA", at positions 8 to 213 of the family's 1533-position model. The record is from RNAcentral.
AGAGUUUGAUCCUGGCUCAGAUUGAACGCUGGCGGCACGCCUAACACAUGCAAGUCGAGCGGUAACGGGUUUAGUAGCAAUACUGAAUGCUGACGAGCGGCGGACGGGUGAGUAACACGUAGGAAUCUGCCUCUAAGCGGGGGACAACCAAGGGAAACUUUGGCUAAUACCGCAUGAAAUCGAGAGAUCAAAGCUGCCGU